UUGCUAACAUUCAGUUGAGGACUCUAGUGAGACUGCCAGUGAUAAACUGGAGGAAGGUGGGGAUGACGUCAAAUCAUCAUGCCCUUUAUGACCUGGGCUACAAACGUACUACAAUGGCCAAUACAAAGAGAUGCGAAGUCGCGAGAUGGAGCGAACCUCAUAAAAAUGGUCUCAGUUCAGAUUGAAGUCUGCAACUCGACUUCAUGAAGGCGGAAUCGCUAGUAAUCGCGGGUCAGCAGACCGCGGUGAAUACGUUCCCGGGUUUU
This 266-nucleotide ribosomal RNA is filed under the name uncultured Mollicutes bacterium. RNAcentral describes it as "partial 16S ribosomal RNA". It matches the Rfam family "Bacterial small subunit ribosomal RNA", at positions 1115 to 1382 of the family's 1533-position model. Lineage: Bacteria; Bacillati; Mycoplasmatota; Mollicutes. The record is from RNAcentral.